This 497-nucleotide ribosomal RNA is filed under the name uncultured bacterium. RNAcentral describes it as "partial 16S ribosomal RNA". It matches the Rfam family "Bacterial small subunit ribosomal RNA", at positions 28 to 507 of the family's 1533-position model. The record is from RNAcentral.
GAUGAACGCUGGCGGCGUGCCUAAUACAUGCAAGUCGAGCGAACAGACGAGGAGCUUGCUCCUCUGACGUUAGCGGCGGACGGGUGGGUAACACGUGGAUAACCUACCUAUAAGACUGGGAUAACUUCGGGAAACCGGAGCUAAUACCGGAUAAUAUAUUGAACCGCAUGGUUCAAUAGUGAAAGACGGUUUUGCUGUCACUUAUAGAUGGAUCCGCGCCGCAUUAGCUAGUUGGUAAGGUAACGGCUUACCGAGGCAACGAUGCGUAGCCGACCUGAGAGGGUGAUCGGCCACACUGGAACUGAGACACGGUCCAGACUCCUACGGGAGGCAGCAGUAGGGAAUCUUCCGCAAUGGGCGAAAGCUUGACGGAGCAACGCCGCGUGAGUGAUGAAGGUCUUCGGAUCGUAAAACUCUGUUAUUAGGGAAGAACAAAUGUGUAAGUAACUAUGCACGUCUUGACGGUACCUAAUCAGAAAGCCACGGCUAACUACGUG